RNAcentral lists this non-coding RNA (24 nucleotides) under Arabidopsis thaliana (thale cress). Lineage: Eukaryota; Viridiplantae; Streptophyta; Magnoliopsida; Brassicales; Brassicaceae. The record is from RNAcentral. RNAcentral also lists the same sequence under 1 other name.
UGACUACGUCCCUGCCCUUUGUAC